CGUCUAUAUACGUAUAGCAUAUCAAUAAGCGGAGGAAAAGAAACUAACAAGGAUUCCCUUAGUAACGGCGAGUGAAGCGGGAAGAGCUCAAAUUUGAAAUCUUCAAUGGUUCUACCUUGACGAAUUGUAGUUUAAAGAAGUGUUUUCUGUUAGAGGAGUAGCAAAAGUUCCUUGGAAUGGGACAUCAUAGAGGGUGAGAAUCCCGUAUUUGGUUAUAUUCUUUCUAGCUUUGUGAUACACUUUCAAAGAGUCGGAUUGUUUGGGAAUGCAGUCCAAAAUGGGUGGUAAAUUUCAUCUAAAGCUAAAUAUUGGCGAGAGACCGAUAGCGAACAAGUACCGUGAGGGAAAGAUGAAAAGAACUUUGAAAAGGAGAGUUAAACAGUACGUGAAAUUGUCAAAAGGGAAGCGUUUGACACCAGUGUUGUUUUUCCGAAAAUCAAUUAAGAGUAGGCUUGAUUUUGUGUUGUAUUGACCUUAUCAGCUUUCUUCACUCUUUUUCGAGUCUUUCUUGAUGCACUUUUCGGUUAACAAGUCAACAUCAAUUUCUUUUGUUGUAAAGGGUAUUUGGAAGGUGGCUUUCUUUUCGGAGAAAGUGUUUAUAGCCUUAUACCUCUACAAUCGGAGAGAUUGAGGUCUGCAGCGUAGAUCCUUCGGGGCUAGAUACACUUGUGCUAAGUUAUAGCUUUUCAUAGACAACUUGUUGACUAUGUUUAGUCAUGUAGCUUACCCGCUUGUGCUAUUUUACCUACGCUUAGGAUGUUGAGUCAUCACACAUCUCU
RNAcentral lists this ribosomal RNA (779 nucleotides) under uncultured Neocallimastigales. Its description in RNAcentral is "partial large subunit ribosomal RNA". It matches the Rfam family "Eukaryotic large subunit ribosomal RNA", at positions 26 to 614 of the family's 3401-position model. The record is from RNAcentral. Lineage: Eukaryota; Fungi; Neocallimastigomycota; Neocallimastigomycetes; Neocallimastigales.